Molecule: long non-coding RNA, 504 nt
Organism: Capsella rubella
Lineage: Eukaryota; Viridiplantae; Streptophyta; Magnoliopsida; Brassicales; Brassicaceae
Exons: 2
Source: RefSeq, a predicted model, not a curated record
UCUUCAGUUUCUCAACUGUAAUACUAAUUAUAACUUGCUGUUCUGUAGCAAAUUGCAGGUGGAAUGGCAUUAUUCUUAAUCAAGAAAAACAACAACUUGAUAUCCGAGAGUCAUGAAGAAUUAUCAAACUGCUUCAAACCAAAAGACAUAUGGAACGUAUAUCGUUCUUACAUUUUCAUCAUUUGGUUUAAGCAGGUGGAAUUUAUAUUGACGAUUCUGACAUAGGAAAAUCUUGCAAAGGGUUAUUUGGUUCACAAGAGCAAAGUGGUGGUAUUUAGUAAGUAUGAUCCUUUCCUUAUUCUAACUGGAACCGGUUUAGAGUAUCAUUUGUUAGUUCUGGGUCUUAUGGUCGUUGUUUCUGUAUCAAAGACACCCUGUUAGUGUUUACUAUACUCACUUACUUUUUUAGUAUGCUCACUUACUCUCACUCAUUUCAGUUCUUUAGUGAUAGCAUGAUAGACUGAUUUGGUUCAGGUGAAUGCAUAUUUUGGUUGGUUACUGUAA